GUAGUCCAUGCCGUAAACGUUGGGCACUAGGUGUGGGGCUCAUUCCACGAGUUCCGCGCCGCAGCUAACGCAUUAAGUGCCCCGCCUGGGGAGUACGGCCGCAAGGCUAAAACUCAAAGGAAUUGACGGGGGCCCGCACAAGCGGCGGAGCAUGCGGAUUAAUUCGAUGCAACGCGAAGAACCUUACCAAGGCUUGACAUACACCGGAAUCAUGCAGAGAUGUGUGCGUCUUCGGACUGGUGUACAGGUGGUGCAUGGUUGUCGUCAGCUCGUGUCGUGAGAUGUUGGGUUAAGUCCCGCAACGAGCGCAACCCUCGUCCUAUGUUGCCAGCACGUGAUGGUGGGGACUCAUAGGAGACUGCCGGGGUCAACUCGGA
RNAcentral lists this ribosomal RNA (377 nucleotides) under uncultured bacterium. RNAcentral's name for it is "bacterial SSU rRNA". It matches the Rfam family "Bacterial small subunit ribosomal RNA", at positions 790 to 1167 of the family's 1533-position model. The record is from RNAcentral.